UUUAGUUCUGCUCUGAUCUUUGUUAUUUCCUUUCUUCUGCUGGGUUUGGGUUUGGUUUGUUCUUGUUUCUCUAGUUCCUUCAGGUGUGACCUUAGAAUCUUAGGUUGUGCUCUUUCAAAUAUCUUUUUGAUGU
Molecule: long non-coding RNA, 133 nt
Organism: Sapajus apella (tufted capuchin)
Lineage: Eukaryota; Metazoa; Chordata; Mammalia; Primates; Cebidae
Exons: 3
Source: RefSeq, a predicted model, not a curated record